RNAcentral lists this long non-coding RNA (1866 nucleotides) under Marmota monax (woodchuck). Lineage: Eukaryota; Metazoa; Chordata; Mammalia; Rodentia; Sciuridae. The record is from RNAcentral.
GCUGAGGCUGACUUUGAACUCGAGAUCCUCCUGCCUCAGCAUCCUGAGCCGUUGGGAUUACAGUUAUGCACCGCUGUGCCGGGCCUAAAAUUGUUACUUUUUAUUUUGAGACAGGGAGCUUGUGAAGAUUUAUGAUUUCUUUUGGGGUUGUUUUUUUGUACUGGGGCUUGAACCCAGGGAUGGUCUACACCCUAGUCCUGUUCAUUUAUUAUUUCAAGAUAGAUAUGUUGCUGAGGCUGGCCUCGAACUUGUGAUCUUCCUGUCUCAGCCUCCCGAGUUGCUGGGAUUACAGGUGUAGAACAGGGCUCCCAGCUAGAAACCAGAAAUUAUUCCUCCUAACUGUAACUUUGUACUCAUUGACCUCACACCCUGCUUCCUGACCACUCCUGAGCCUCUAUAACCAUUAUUCUAAUCUCUACUUUUUAUGAGAUUGGCUUUUUUAGAUUUUUUAGAUCAUGCAGUAUUUAUCUUUCUGUGUGUGAUGUAUUUCACAUCACAUAUGCCUUUCAUGUUAUCCUCAAUGACAGAAUUUCAUUUACAGUAAUGCUAUUCCAAAUACUGAGUGGUAAGUACUCCAUGGUGUACAUGUGCCACAUUUUAUUUAUCCAUUCUUUCACUGAUGGGCAAUCGGAAUUCCAACAGCUCCAAAAACAAAUAAUCCAACUAAAAAACGGGCAAAAUGGGCUGGGGUUGUGGUUCAGUGGUGGAGUGCUUGCCUAGCAUGUGUGAGGCCCUGAGUUUGAUUCUCAGCACCACAUAUAAAUAAAAUAAAAGUCCAUCGACAACUAAAAAAAUGUUUUUAAAAAUGGGCAAAAUACCUGAAUAGACAUUUCUCAACAGGUAUAUGAAAAAAUAUUCAUACCACUAAUCACCAGGGGAAAUGCAAAUCAAAACCACCAAGAGAUAUCAUCUCGCUCCAGUUAACAAGGCUAUUGCCUCAUUCUGUGGCACAUGCCCAUAAUCCCAGCUACUCGGGAGGCUCAAGCAAGAGGAUCACAAGUUCAAGGCUGGUCUUGACAAAUUAAUGAACCCUCAUCUCAAAGUAAAAAUUUAAAAAGGGCUGGAGAUGUAGUUCCAUGGUAGAGUGCUUGCCUAGCAUGCACAAGGCCCCAUACCACAAAAAUAAAUAAAAUAGCUACUAUCAAGAAAGACAAAAAAUAAAUGCUAAGGAGGAUGAGGAGAAAAGGGAACUCUCAUACACUUGUUGGUGGGAAUGUAAGUUAGUACAGCCAUAUGGAAAACAGUAUGGAGGUUCGUCAGAAAGUUAAAAAUAGAUCUACAAUAUGCCCAGCAACUUCAUAAUUAGGUAUAUUCCCAAAGGAAAUAAGUAUUUCAAAGAGACACCUACACUCCCAUGUCUACUGAAGCACUAGUGACAACAGCCAAGAUAACAAAUCAACCAGGACCCUUCUCAAAGGCGCUGCUGUCCAGGUAUCAUUCCUGCAUCCACAAGCCCUCCCUCUUAAGAUAGCCCUGCCCCUCCUGUGCCCACCCUGCCUGACUAGCCUUUUGCCCAAACAUUAUAGAUUCUCCAGCUUCAUCAAACUCCUGUUCCUCCCUGAAUAAGUCCUGUGCUCUUUCGAGGAGUGAGAAGAGCGUUUAUAGUUUAAAAUAUUGAAAAUAUUUAUUUUGUUCAGAGAUCAAACUAGUAAUUUUUCCUCUUUUACAAAAGUUAAUUAUGCAGGUGCUUCUUUUUAAAAAAAUAUUUUUUUGUAGUUGUACACAAUAACUUUAUUUUAUUUAUUUAUUUUUAUGUAGUGCUGAGAAUCGAACCCAGGACCUUGCACGUGCGAGGCGAGCGCUCUACCACUGAGCCAUCACCCCAGCCCCUCUAGGUUCCUAAAUAACAAAAUUUUCCUCUCUCUU